GAGUCCUAAUUAGACUAUAUUUUAAAUGAUAGAGCAAGGAAAACUGAAAUUCGGGCUAAAAUGGGGAAAAUACCAAGUGGUGGACGAAAUGGUAAAAAUAGCCAUUUUCGCAUACGAGUGUUGACAAGCCAGCUCGGAAAUCGGAAACGGUCGGAGGCACGCUCACACUAUCCGUAUACCAUCUUGGCAUAAUGGCUUGUAUAUUUUGAGUAUGGCAUGUAUAGCAUUAUAAUCAUUUUAUAUGUAUGGUCUUAUGAUAUGGUUA
Gossypium arboreum is the source of this 265-nucleotide long non-coding RNA. RefSeq lists it as uncharacterized. The record is from RefSeq and is a predicted model, not a curated record. Lineage: Eukaryota; Viridiplantae; Streptophyta; Magnoliopsida; Malvales; Malvaceae. The transcript is spliced from 2 exons.